This 480-nucleotide ribosomal RNA is filed under the name uncultured bacterium. RNAcentral describes it as "bacterial SSU rRNA". It matches the Rfam family "Bacterial small subunit ribosomal RNA", at positions 30 to 506 of the family's 1533-position model. The record is from RNAcentral.
UUGAACGCUGGCGGCAUGCCUUACACAUGCAAGUCGAACGGUAACAGGUCUUCGGAUGCUGACGAGUGGCGAACGGGUGAGUAAUACAUCGGAACGUGCCCGAGAGUGGGGGAUAACGGAGCGAAAGCUUUGCUAAUACCGCAUACGAUCUACGGAUGAAAGCAGGGGACCCUCGGGCCUUGCGCGAACGGAGCGGCCGAUGGCAGAUUAGGUAGUUGGUGGGAUAAAAGCUUACCAAGCCGACGAUCUGUAGCUGGUCUGAGAGGACGACCAGCCACACUGGGACUGGGACACGGCCCAGACUCCUACGGGAGGCAGCAGUGGGGAAUUUUGUCCAAUUGGCGAAAGCCUGAUCCAGCAAUGCCGCGUGCAGGAUGAAGGCCUUCGGGUUGUAAACUGCUUUUGUACGGAACGAAAAGUCUCGGGAUAAUACCCUGGGACCAUGACGGUACCGUAAGAAUAAGCACCGGCUCACUACGU